CUGUCCUGCAGAGAAACGCUGAAGCUUCUGAAGGACCCUUCCUUCUGAGCUGAGAGGUCAUGAAAACCAAACACUCUCUUUCCUUUCUCAUUUAAAUGCAGCCCCUUUUGAGUCUGUUUACACCAUCACCCAAAUCUGAUGCUGGAGUAAUCAGAUUCUGCAAAAACCCGGUGUGACUCAUUCAGAGAGCUGACAUUCCUGACACUCUCAUUUCUGUCAGUUUCUGCUCAAAAAAAUUCUCAAGGCAGAAACUUUGGUUGUUUUUUUUUAAACCUAUGUUACCUUUUCAGAAAUGUCAUUCCGAUCUUGUGGACAAAGGCAAAAGAGAUGAUGCAUUUCUGCUGGAAUAGAAGGAGGAGGGAAAGAUCUCCAAGAAAACACCCUGCUGGUUCAAUCCGUGUUUGGAGCUUCUGUGCCUCGGUGAGACAUUUGGAGCAAACUUGUUUUGCCAAGGCUUCAUGCUGGAGAGACGAUGGGUCUUCAGGUGAACUCAUGAAUAACACAGAAAAGAAAUGUCCCAAGAAGACGGGCAUCAACGCUGAUCAUCACUGUGAUUCUGAAAGGUAAUCUGUUCAUGUUUUUCUUUGUGCUUUCAGUUUCUUGCCCUCAGAUGUCUGCAAAAAUGAUUCCAUCUUGAAGCAGUUUGUGGAAAUUUUCAAAUCUGAGGUAAAAAGAGUACAGGAAAGCCCCCCCGAGAUGCAGAGAGCAAGGUGUGAUUUGCACCUGAAGUUUUUGUUUUUUAGAACAAAAGAGAAAGUAGAUGUUUACAGGAAGUGUCUUUGUGUGCAUUUUGAAUGUGAAUGUCUGGGCAGGGCAAGCCCAAAGAAAUGGGAAAAAUGAACAUUUUUUGAGAAAUAGUCAACAAAUUAGAAAGAAAAUAGCCAAACUCUUCAGCGAUUCAUUUAGUUGCACACUCUUGUUUGAGGGAAACUCAUCCUGACAUGUUUAACGCCAUGAUCAACAUCUCCAGAAGCAGAGAAGCAAAGAAGACCUGGAUGAAGGUCAGCAGAUGCAGGUCCAGGAGGUGAAAUGCUCCCAACAAAGGACUUAUCUGGACAAACAGUAGUGACACUGUAACACACAAACACACAUUGUCCUUCAGAUGUUACCGAUGAUAACCCACAGGCUGUGUUGACACUCCUGAUAAUGACACAUUCUUCCACCCGCCCGGGGGUCGCCCUCCCCGGCCAGCGCGACUCAAAGCGAAUAUCUGAGCGUACUCCAGCUUCACAGAUAAUGAUCAGUCUAAAUGUUAUGAGUUCAGAGGAGAGAGGUCCCACCUGAGGCCUGAAAAACGGCUUUAUCACAUCACCAUCUUCAGAUCUGCAGCUGAACUGCUGCAUGGGAUUCACCAGAUGGCCGUUUCCUGUCUGUGUUGGUGGAAGGAGCCCGCGCUCGCCCCCCAAACCGGCCUGCAGAGACUGGGGGGAGGCCUCUGCAGAAUAUGAAAUGUUUUUUGGGGGGAAACGGAGCUCAGAGCAAACAGCACCUGCCACAUCCUGAUCAAUACUCCUUUCCUGUGUGAGCAAAGUGUUAUUGAUACGUUGCUGAUGGCCGUGCGCCUGCUGCAUCCUGCCAUAAACAAGUCCUAAGAGCAGCUCGGCUGGAUCAUCGGUCAGAGGAGCGGGUGCUGUCCAACGUGUUCUUUCCUUUGCAUCGUUGUUUACACAAAAAUGAAAUAAUCCCUGCAGAUUCAGGCCAGUGGGAGGUUAAGGCGGCUCAUAUCAGCAGAGGGAUCUGCAGCCUUUGCAGCCCCUUCCAAAAAGUUCAGAAUUCAAUUGUUGAGUGAAAAUAAACCCAAAGGCAAUGGAGGACAAAGGGGUGCUGGACCACAGCGAGCGCCACCGGGAUUCUGCUGAAAGGGUGGAGGAGGACACUGCACCACAGAGCCCAGGCUGGACUGAAAGCAGGUUUUGGCUGGAAGGCUCUCCUGCCUUUCUGUCGGGGGGCCCACAGCUAAACAAUCAGCGUACCUGCGUGUGUUCCAGGUGAGGUGGAAAGUUGGCUCCUGAUGGAAAUUGCUUCACACACGAGGACCCAUCCCAAUCGACAGAGUGUGACUACCCCAUGUGACUCAUAACGCGGGAGCCGAAAAACAAAGUUUCAUGUUCUACACCACCGCUUCCUGAGGAGCGCGGGGAGAAGAAAAUAUAUUUGUUUUGCGUGGGCUCCAGGCGGUUGGGGGAGACGGUGUCAUCUGUCAGACAGGGAGGCACCAGGGGGGGCGGCAGAGCAUCCCUCUGGCUGACUCUGAUGUGUGUUCCUGCUCCUCGGCUUUGUUCUGGUCUGGUGCCGGACGCUCCUUCUCUCCAGACCACUGCUCAACGUCGCACAACACGGAUGCUCAAGUGUGUAAAUCCGGCUCGUCAUUUGACCAUCAGUGUGUUUAAAUAAUAAAUGAAGCCGUUCCUUUUCUUUUCUUCUGAA
Molecule: long non-coding RNA, 2427 nt
Organism: Oryzias latipes (Japanese medaka)
Lineage: Eukaryota; Metazoa; Chordata; Actinopteri; Beloniformes; Adrianichthyidae
Source: RefSeq, a predicted model, not a curated record